UAUGAUCCAGAGUCCCACGGGACACGUGAAACCCUGUGGGAAGCAGGAGGGACCACCCUCCAAGGCUAAAUACUACCUAGUGACCGAUAGCGUAUAGUACCGUGAGGGAAAGGUGAAAAGAACCCCGGGAGGGGAGUGAAAUAGAACCUGAAACCCUGCACUUACAAGCUGUGGAAGCACAUUUCUUGUGUGACCGCGUACUUUUUGUAGAACGGGCCAACGAGUUACGUUAAGUAGCAAGGUUAAGCACUUAAGGUGCGGAGCCGUAGCGAAAGCGAGUUUUAACUGAGCGUUCAGUUACUUGACGUAGACCCGAAACCGGGCGACCUACCCAUGAGCAGGAUGAAGCGAAAGUAAAAUUUCGUGGAGGUCCGAACCCACGAGCGUUGAAAAGCUCGGGGAUGACUUGUGGGUAGCGGUGAAAUUCCAAUCGAGCCCGGAGAUAGCUGGUUCUCCCCGAAAUAGCUUUAGGGCUAGCCUCAAGGUGAGAGAUACGGAGGUAGAGCACUGAAUGUCCUAGGGGGUAUUGCACCUACCGAAGACUAUCAAACUCCGAAUGCCGUCAUCUUAUACUUGGGAGUCAGACUGUGGGUGAUAAGAUUCAUAGUCGAAAGGGCAACAGCCCAGAUCGUCAGCUAAGGUCCCUAAAUGUAAGUUAAGUGGUAAAGGAUGUGGGAUUGCACAGACAACCAGGAUGUUGGCUUAGAAGCAGCCACUCAUUCAAAGAGUGCGUAAUAGCUCACUGGUCGAGUGAUCCUGCGCCGAAGAUUUCCGGGGCUAAAACUUACUACCGAAGCUACGGCAUCAGUAAUGAUGGGUAGGGGAGCUUCCCAUACGGGUUGAAGCAUGACCGUAAGGACAUGUGGACAGUAUGGGAGUGAGAAUGUUGGCAUGAGUAGCGAGAUGUGGGUGAGAAUCCCACAGGCCGUAAACCCAAGGUUUCCAGGGGAAGGUUCGUCCGCCCUGGGUUAGUCGGGACCUAAGCUGAGGCCGAAAGGCGUAGGUGAUGGACAACAGGUUGAUAUUCCUGUACUACCGAUAACCGUUUGAGAGAAGGGAUGACACAGUAGGAUAAGCUAAGCACACUGUUGGUUAUGUGUGCCCAAGCAUUGAGGCAGUCAAAGUAGGCAAAU
This 1133-nucleotide ribosomal RNA is filed under the name Clostridium sp. HMSC19B12. Its description in RNAcentral is "bacterial LSU rRNA". It matches the Rfam family "Bacterial large subunit ribosomal RNA", at positions 401 to 1541 of the family's 2925-position model. Lineage: Bacteria; Bacillati; Bacillota; Clostridia; Eubacteriales; Clostridiaceae. The record is from RNAcentral.